UGAGGAACAUGACCUUCGGCGGGGGAUAGCCGGCCCAACGGCCGGGUAAUACCGCGUACGACCACUUUGGGACAUCCCUCGGUGGUGAAAGCAGCAAUGCGCCGAUGGAGUGCCUCGCGGCCUAUCAGCUAGUUGGUGAGAUAACGGCCCACCAAGGCGACGACGGGUAGCCGGCCUGAGAGGGCGACCGGCCACACUGGGACUGAGACACGGCCCAGACCUCCGUACGGGGAGGCAG
RNAcentral lists this ribosomal RNA (238 nucleotides) under uncultured bacterium. RNAcentral's name for it is "partial 16S ribosomal RNA". It matches the Rfam family "Bacterial small subunit ribosomal RNA", at positions 118 to 351 of the family's 1533-position model. The record is from RNAcentral.